UAUAUUCGAUUUUGAAGGAUCUGACAUUAUCCAGAUCUGACAAUUCAGUCCCCCACCCUGGCUAGCAGUGGUAUCGUCCUUUGUGAAACUCAAGCACGUGACCACAAAUAAAAAACUGCAAACAAGCUGCAUUCCAUAAUUUCACGCCCUUUUUGAUCUCUGUGUUCAAGCGAUAUUUCCUCAUCAAAGCAUUUCUGGUGGAAUAAGAACACUGCUGCCAUACACGAUGCAGACGACUGUGUGUUAUCUGUUUGUCAUCUGUGCCGCCUUUGGGUGGUGUGCGGCUCUAGACUGCUAUUCUUGCUUAUUGGCAUCCGGGUGUGGAGACCCGUUUGACCCAGCCAGCGCCACAACCAAGACAUGUUCUAAUGGGAGUGUCUGCUCGGCCAAAGUAUACGUUCUGGCGGGAACAACCUGUACAGCCGCGAUUGCGUGGAAGCCGAUAGUUGUUCGCCAGGUUGCCUAGCUACUGCUGAAGGGAUGAUAUGCAGUUACUGCUGUGACGAUGAGGACCUUUGCAACCGCAAAGCCAUCGCAGACGAAAUUGCCAGCAUCCUCCACUGCUAUUUUUGUGCAUACAGUUCGGACCCCUCAUCUGCGAACGUAAGCUCUCCAGGGUGCAACGAUCCUUUCGACCCGACUGAUACCAGGGUGCUUCAGCUGCCUUGCCCUGACGGAAAGUGCGGGGUUAUAAACACCACAUUUGGUGGACACACUGCCAUAAACAGGCUCUGCUUCCCCAACGCCCAGGGGGGAUGCACCCCCGGCUGUGACGACGCCUCUAUCAACUGCAACACCUGCUGCUCUACCAACCUGUGUAACGGAGGGAGCGAGGGUGGCGUGGCGACCACACCUAGUGCAGCGCCGUCUCUAGAGCACUUCUCCCUCUUGCGUAUAGUGCUGAUCGGGGCUGGUCUGUGCAUGGUUGUCCUGCUUUAGAUAUGACCUGUGGCACAUUUUUACGACCGGUGUAUGCAAAGGCGUUUAUCUACACAGAAUACCUUUAAUAAAGGACUUAGUGUACCGGUACAGGAAACCUAUUCAAGGCGACAUACUUUAAAGCUCUGUAGAAAAGGUUGAAGCUUUUAGGACUCAUGGAGCUCACAUACACAGAAUAAUGGCUUAUUCAUCUCUCAUUAUAAAUUGCUACAAUGCUUCGCUUUGCCUCUAGUUUACAUUUCGGUGGUAUUUAAUGACCAGCAAUGAAGUUUGGACACCUUUAGAACCGAGACAACUUCUAACAGUUGCUGUGAUUAUCGAAGCUGAUAUAUAUUCUACGUCAAAGAAUUUUGGCUUUAUGUUAGAGGAGCUAUUUUAGAAGCAAAAAUCUUUGUAAUAAUCCGGAUAGAAGUCAUCGUGGAACAUGAAAUUAAGUGGAAUCCACAGAUUACAAGCUUUUAAAACAAUUAUUACUUUAUUAAGUUUUCGUUUUGUAUUGCUACAAUGCUUUUGUCUCUUCUUGACAUUGUGAAUAAUUGACAAGAGUCAUUCAUUUAAUGACCAGCGACGAAGUUAGGACACUUGGAAACCAAGGAAACUUCCAUUGCUGUGAUUACUUUAGUUUAGGUGAAACAUAUUUACCCUAAUAGAAUUUUGGCUUUAUUUAUAGAUUUCAGGAGCACAGGAUCUCGUAACAAUGAGGAUGGAAUGUAUCGUGAAACUUGAGAAUUAAAUUAAGUGGAACACAUAGGAAGAAUUAUUACAACUGAGCCAUGCAGCCACCAAGACUUCUAAAGACGCAUGAAACCAUUGCAAGGGCGAAUCCAUUUUUUUCGGGGAGGGGGGGGAAAUUGCUAGGUUACUGGUUAGAUCUGACUUGCACAUAAAAUAUUCUUAAAUGAAGAGAAUCUUAAACAGAUUAUUCUUAUCACUCAGAAAUUCUUUCAGACGCUCAGUCAGUAAUGAUAUAGUAUCGACUAUUGAUUCAUUAUGCGUGGGUUACUACAUUUAAAUGUGAUCAGCGCCAAUGUGGUAAUGCUGGAUUGUUCUGUGACAGGAGCAAAUGUUCUUUAACCAGUGAACAAAAUGACUAAUCUCGUUUAAUUAAAGUGGCAUAUGUGAAGCCUCUUCAUUCUAAUGCUA
Molecule: long non-coding RNA, 2082 nt
Filed under: Acanthaster planci (crown-of-thorns starfish)
Lineage: Eukaryota; Metazoa; Echinodermata; Asteroidea; Valvatida; Acanthasteridae
Description: uncharacterized LOC110989780, transcript variant X1
Source: RNAcentral